Molecule: long non-coding RNA, 1721 nt
Organism: Alligator sinensis (Chinese alligator)
Lineage: Eukaryota; Metazoa; Chordata; Crocodylia; Alligatoridae
Exons: 3
Source: RefSeq, a predicted model, not a curated record
GCUUGGCCUUCCUGGGUGCUGCUCAGGCAGCCUCCAGCCCGGCUCCAGAUCGAGGACCCAAGCGUUUGCAUCCGGCCCACGGGAGGAUUGGACUCGCUGGAUCCCAGCCGGGGCCCUGGCCUGUCCCGGCUGGAUGCCUGUUGCCGUGCAAGGGCAUGGGAGGCCAGAAUGGAGGGACCCCAGAUGGCUCCUCACAUUUCCCUGCCUGGGAAAGUUCAAGCACCGAGCCUGUGAAAACACACCGAGAGUGAUGAAUGGAUGAGCUGGCAGAGUGUGCUUCUGCCACUCCAGGCAUGUCUGGAAUGGCGCCCACAGUCGCUGACACUGUUUUCAGGCCUCCAGAGAGACUCGGGGAAUUGGCCUUGCUUCUUCACUGCUUUGGAGACUGCAGCCAUCUACUCCCUUUCACUGAGCUCUGAUGGCACUGGUAACCUGUGUGCACAGCUGCACAGAGUACUGUGAGAACUCAUCUAGGAUGGACUUUCACCUGUCUUGUCUUUGGGCAGGAGGUGCUAUUUUCUGUUCAUUCACUACUAAUAGUAUUUGCAUUGGCCCCAUGUAGUGGAUCUUGGCUCCUGCACCAAAGCAGGAAACUUACCAGGCCUCCACAGCAGCAUUCAGUGUUAUGCCUCGUUCUUGCCCUGAUAGCCUCAGUUUAAACCCUCCCCCAUACCUAGUGCAAGUGCUGUGAGUCUCUUCACCCUGCCCCCAGCAUCCCAACUUCUGUCUGCUCAAAUACUUCCUGCUGCUUUGGCAUUUUCUGUGUUCCUUAAUGAGAAAUUGUCUGACCAGGUCCCUUUUCCCUCCACUGCCAUGGGAUGAACUGUGCAUGCCUUCUGUGCCAAGGUGGUGUGUUGUCCUGCCUCACCUGCCAUGUUCCCUGACAUCACCUAAACACCAUGAAAAGCUUGAGACUUCUCUGUGGUCCAUCUGCUCCUCCUUAAUGGAGCAGGGCACUCUUGGAUGACCAGGGCUCCUGGCUAAGUACAGGCUGUUGAAGGGGAAAAAAGAGCAGGCUAGCAGGAUACAUUUGUCCAAGCCUGCCUAGUUACCUAAAAUAGCUAGUUAUUUAGACAUAAAGAGCUGCUACACUUACCUGUCUUUGAGUAGGGGGUUGGCAACAGUUCCACGUUCUUCUGUUGCCCUACUUCAGCACCACUAGCUGGCUAAUGCAUGCUUGAGUGUAGCUCUGGGAAUGCAAGAGGUGGUGGUGACUUCAGCUUCUAUACAGCCCCUCAACUGCUUUCCCUCUGUUCUGGUACCCUCCAAGUUCUGCCCUGCAGCUGGUGGUCCCACCUGUGCUAAGAGCCAGCUUCUGUAGAGUGAGAGUCAAGAUGCCACCUAGUGGGUGACUUGAGGAUGUACUGGCUCCUGAGUAAGGGUCUGGUAACGUUUCCUUGCCACAUCACCCAGAAGAGGGCACCAUCCUGGUUUUCUCCAGGCCAGGAGCAGCGAGUGACUCUGUAGGCCCCACUGGAAGACCUUGCCAUGGAACACAGCAUCCUGGAGCCCAGGUCAGAACUGUAACCAUAGGUGCCUUCAGCCACUUCCUAACCCCUGAUAGCUGGUGGCUGCCUGUGCCUUCUGUGUGGCUCCUCUGACCCUGGCUCUUUCCUACCCAUGUAAGUACAUAGGCUUCUGACUGGAACUGUGCUGGUACCUUGUGCCAUAGAGCAUUGGUGGAUUAAAGCCUCUUUGGUUUGAUCUGGGUGUCUCCAUUC